AUGGAGAGAAUUUUAAUCGGUGAUAUGCGCGACGGUGCCGCUAAUCUAGUUCAGAGCUCGGUUCGCCUGUUGAACAACAUGAAGCGUUUCAGAACUAUGCAAAACUCUCGCUGCAAGCCAUAUGAAGAAAGUGCAAAUGUUGUUAUCAAGCAGUUUGAGCAGGAUGAGGCUGCUGCCACCGACAGCAGGGCUGGUGAUGGUACUGAGGCUAAUGUUUUUGACCACGAAACGAAUGAUGUUGGCUUUGAGCGUCCUGAUGUUGAUUUUGAUCACGAUGAGGCUGCUGGCACCGACAGCAGGGCUGAUGAUGGUACUGAGGCUAAUGUUUCUGAUCAGUGUACGAACGAUGUUGGCUCGCAGCACCCUAUUGUUGAUGAGACCAGUCAUAAUGUUGAGGCUGCUGUUGACGGUGGAGUUAAUGAUCUAUCCACUAAUAAGUGCAAGGGUCCUAUUGUUGGCGAUGAGCCUUGUUUGCCUGUUGGUGAUGUCACUUUGAAUGUUAGCAGCAGCAAGUUCGAUGAUGUUGCUGUGAAUGCUUCCAAGAUUACUAUUGUUGAGCGUGAGGUUGUCCUUAGUGGUGGAGAUGAUGCUCAUGAUGUUCCAUUGAGUAGUGGGUGCAAUGUUGGUACCAAAGUGGCUGAUGAGGAUGCUGGUGCUGCCAGCAUACUUGAUGCCAAAUCGCCUGGUGUUGGUAUUGCUGGGAAUGAAAAUGUUUCUGGUUGUGAAGAUUUGCCGCCGAAGAAUUUCCCGCCUGGAGGUCUUGAUUACGGUGAUGCAUUGCAAUAUGCUUCUAGCAUGGAGGAGGUGCCAUCCGAGGAUGAUGAUUUACUUCUGUCAAUUUCUUCUGACCCCUUGACGCAGGAGGCGCUCUUGUCAUCCCAGGAUUUUCUUUCUACAAACCCUAAAAGCGCAUCAAUAUUGGUGUCCUCUCAAGAUGUCCCAUCGUCAAACCCUGAAGCUGGAGGCAUAAUGGUCUCAUCACAGGAACUACCGUCGUCUCAAACCCUGAUAGUCUAG
RNAcentral lists this ribosomal RNA (1017 nucleotides) under Triticum aestivum (bread wheat). RNAcentral describes it as "partial small subunit ribosomal RNA". The record is from RNAcentral. Lineage: Eukaryota; Viridiplantae; Streptophyta; Magnoliopsida; Poales; Poaceae.